Long non-coding RNA from Ornithodoros turicata, 404 nucleotides. RefSeq lists it as uncharacterized. The transcript has 3 exons. Lineage: Eukaryota; Metazoa; Arthropoda; Arachnida; Ixodida; Argasidae. The record is from RefSeq and is a predicted model, not a curated record.
UCACGUUGCUAACGUGCAUGAUGGGCACGAUGGACAGUACACACGAUGCCUGCAUGGGAGCCUCGAAAGGAGAGACUGGCUUUGUCCUGGCUCACCUGAACACAGUCGUUUCGUGUCCCUCACUACGGACCGUUGCCUUUUAAAGGACAUAGCUCAGCUGUCACCAGCGGGGCAGACUUACAGCCUUGAGUCAUUCCAUGCGGUCAUCAUUCACUUCGCUUCAAAGUCUGUGCCUUACACUCCGGCUGUCAUGCAAGCUAGAACACGACUUGCAGCUCUCCAUUUCAACGAAAAUGCAAAUCGAGUGCAAGCAGUGAAGCGGAGCGGAGAAGGAAAAUUCAAGAUCAAGCUGCAGCGUGCAAGGGAGGGUCAUUAUGUGGCGUGCCCACUGAAUGUGGACGCAA